CCUACGGGUGGCACCAGUGGGGAAUAUUGCACAAUGGGCGCAAGCCUGAUGCAGCCAUGCCGCGUGUGAAGAAGGCCUUCGGGUUGUAAAGCACUUUCAGCGAGGAGGAAGGUGGUGAGCUUAAUACGCUCAUCAAUUGACGUUACUCGCAGAAGAAGCACCGGCUAACUCCGUGCAGCAGCCGCGGUAAUACGGAGGGUGCAAGCGUUAAUCGGAAUUACUGGGCGUAAAGCGCACGCAGGCGGUUUGUUAAGUCAGAUGUGAAAUCCCCGGGCUCAACCUGGGGACUGCAUUUGAAACUGGCAAGCUAGAGUCUCGUAGAGGGGGUAGAAUUCCAGGUGUAGCGGUGAAAUGCGUAGAGAUCUGGAGGAAUACCGGUGGCGAAGGCGGCCCCCUGGACGAAGACUGACGCUCAGGUGCGAAAGCGUGGGGAGCAAACAGGAUUAGAUACCCGUGUAGUC
RNAcentral lists this ribosomal RNA (461 nucleotides) under uncultured bacterium. RNAcentral's name for it is "bacterial SSU rRNA". It matches the Rfam family "Bacterial small subunit ribosomal RNA", at positions 338 to 795 of the family's 1533-position model. The record is from RNAcentral.